Canis lupus familiaris (dog) is the source of this 3230-nucleotide long non-coding RNA. RefSeq lists it as uncharacterized. The record is from RefSeq and is a predicted model, not a curated record. The transcript has 2 exons. Lineage: Eukaryota; Metazoa; Chordata; Mammalia; Carnivora; Canidae.
CACCCAGGGAUCCCCAAAUUCAGGAAUUUCAAUGACAAAAUGAAGUCUCUCUCUCCACCUCUCAUCUCUGUUGGUCUCCACCUAAGUUUUUUCUCUCCCACUGCAAACCAGCUUUCUCCACAGGGUAAAUGCCACAAGAGCAAGAACCAACUACUUUUACUUACUUUUGUAUGCCCAGGACCAAGCACAGCGCCUGGCACAUUGGCAGGCAAUCGUUAUGAACCAAGAAAUUAGUGUUCGAAUAAUUUCUGGAAAACACAGAGAUUAAAAGUACAGAUUCUGGAAUCAAAGAGGUCCAAAUCUUGGAUGGGUCAAAAUAUGAAGUAUGUCACCUUGGACAAGUCACUUGUAAUGUCCCUUCUAUAAUCUGUUUUUCUGUCUGCAAAAUAAGGACAACAAUAAAGGUUCAUAAGAUGACCUACCUACAACACUUAGCACAAUGUCAGGGAUGCAGAAGGCAGAUAUAUCCAUUGUAAUUAAGUUUAGGCGAGAACAACUGAAAACCCAAAAUACUAUGGCAAUACCGAAAUUUAUCUCUGUCACAUCCAAAGGGCUCCCACUUGGGCCCAUUUUAUGUGAUGCUCCAUCAUUCUCAAGCUGGGGCUUUCUCACCGUACUACCAAUUACUGUUCAAGCUUCAACUACAGUCUUCCCAUUCUCGUCCCCAGCAAAGACAAGAAUGUCCUCAUAAGGAUGUUUCCCAGAAGUCCCCGCCAGGACCUACUUUCAAAUCUCACAGGCCCAAGUGUAACCUCAUCAGCUACAUCAAGCAGAAAGAAGGCUGGGAAAGACAGUCUUGAUUCCAGAUUGUCGUGCGCCCAACAAAAAUGGAAGAGACCAAUAAACAGCCUCUUUCACAGCAAGACAGUGAAGGGAAAAUUCUUACAUGGAAAUUGGGCAUUUUAUGUCAAGGAGUGCCUCCAUAAAAGACUAGAGGCAAAUGUGACCGCAGAGGCACCAUCAAUGGCAACUCGCCUUGUCACAGUAACAGGUGCAUAAAUGUAUUGGCUGAAUUUAAAGACAACCACAUGGCCAUAGCACAGGAGACCUUUCUAAAUCACAGGUCCCCAGUAAAACGGUUCAGGUCUGGUCUUACUCAGGCUCUGUUGAUCACCUCCCUUAUCAUGGUGUGAAAGAAGCCUUACAAGAGCCCUCCCAUCACUCAUGCAUGCCUGCCUCAGGCUCUGCCCUCUGAAUGAUGCAAGAAGCAACAGGUGCCAAGGUGGACUUCUCAGGGAGCCCUGGGGCCAGACUUCAGCCUGAAGAAUCCCCCACAGGGCACAUGGGGUGGGGGGGGGGCAGGUCAGGAAGCAGGAGAACUCUGGCUCUGCUGCACCUGAGUGAGGGCUUCCCCAUCUGUCACAAACCACCAUCUCAGAAAUCAAAUCUUGCUUUAGAGCUAAAGCAAUCCUGUCACUCCACUUUAACUCGCUUGGGAAAAGUUUAAAAAAGGGAUCUUUAGCCUCAUUGUGAAUUUUGAAGUCCUACGGAAAAAUGAUCCUGCAGCAGUUCAAAGAGAAAAAGGGAGUAUUUACUUUCCUUCCCCCUUUCAUGCAGAGGAGAAAGGAACGUUGAGGAUUAUUUUGAUAAUAGAAACUAAACUCUAAGUAAGAGCAUCCAAGAAUGAUAACCACACUCGAACUGCUGAUUUUCUUUCAUCUUAUGGUAAUUGUACAUGGAAUCACCAUCCUUAUUAUUAAAAGCUUUUAUCAAGGGCCAGCAGGUAUCUGGAGCACAAAAGGGACUGAGUUUUACUAAAUCUACAUCAUUACUUGGGGCCUGCACCAGGGUCUUUCCCAAGAACUUAGAAAGAAGAUUGCCUUUGGACAACUUACCAAAAUAUAUCAAAUUGUAUCAAGAUUUUAAAAGCACACACUCUAUCCAUUUUCUCUACAGACAGAGGCACUCAAGAGCACAGGAAAAUCCUCUGUAGCCUUGCCUAUGAAAGCCAAGGCUGGAAAUCACAAAGACGUCCAUAAGGAGAGGAGGUUAAGUAUAUCACAAUACAACCCUACAAGGAAAUACAAGGUCAAAAUGACAAAACAAUGAAUCUGACUGCUAGGCAAUGUCAUAGAAAAGUGCUCACUGCCUGAUGACUAUGAAGUCAGCAGGUCUGGCUUAAGUAUUUCCCAGCUCUGUGUUCUUGAGCGAAGACCUCCAACGUCACUAAGCUGGAGUUUGCCCAUCUGAAAAAUAGGAUAACAACAAGACGAUGGCACGGGGUUGCGCAAGGACUAAACACAGCGUUUAGCCUUGUAGGUGAUGAGAAGCCAGCGUGGCUACAGUGCCAUGGUGGUGUGGACAGCAUCGGGAACACCUUGUUGGAGUCACCAGGCUCUAUCAGUGACCACAUCUUACUCAACCGUAUUAAUCACUCUAAGGGAAGGCAACCCAGCCGACUGUACACAGUGACUCCCUCCUGGGAAUGAAGCUGGCAGUGCAGGAAGCGGGAUGUGAGCAUGGAAAGAAGAAAAUGCCUUUCGUUUUCUUUUUAUGUAUUUAUUAGCGUUUUACUUCUAAUACCAGCUCAGGUUACUUUCACAAUAAAAAUUUUUUUUCAAGAUUGGCCUCUAAGAAGUCAAUUUUAAUUGCAUCUCUUAAUAGAUUAGAGCAAAGCUAUGCAAAGUCCUUGGAAGGAGACUCUGAGCCUUGGGGACUUGAUGUAACUCGACUGGAAAUAGUAAUGCAUCUAAAGAAAGGAAGUGACUACCUGUGAGCCGGGGGGUGAGGAUGUCACGGAGUCCCAGGAGCAGUUUAGAAAGAACAGAGACAGCAGAGAUGGCAAAGAUAUCCAAGUAGCUUGUAGAGGAGAGAGGAAUGUUGGCCCUACAUCCAUAUUUGCAAGUGCGUCCUCCAGGAUCCUCACUUGUUUUUUGCUCUGUGUUAUGGGAUGAACUGUGUCCUCCGCCCCAAAACUGAUGUGUUUGAAGUCCUAACUCCCAGGACCUCAGGAUGUGACUGUAUUUGGAGACAGGGCCUUUCAAGAGGUGAUUAAGGUACUGAGAUCAUUAGAACAGGCUCUCAUCCAACAUAACCGGUGUCCUUCGAAGAAAAGGAACGAUGGACCCAGACACAGAGAGAGAAGACCACGUGGAGACAGAGAGAGGAAAAGACAAUCAUCUACAAGUCAAAGAGAGAGACUGCAGAAGAAACCGACCCUAUGACACCUUGAUCUUUGACUUCCAGCCUCCUAAAUUGCAGAAAAAAUAAAUCUCUGUUGUUUCAGCCUC